Molecule: long non-coding RNA, 3290 nt
Organism: Gallus gallus (chicken)
Lineage: Eukaryota; Metazoa; Chordata; Aves; Galliformes; Phasianidae
Exons: 3
Source: RefSeq, a predicted model, not a curated record
GAUUGCCUGAUCCAAAUGCAACACCUUGAACAUGGCCUUGUUGAACCUCAUUAGGUUCUCACUGGCCCACUUUUUGUGCAUGUCCAGGUCCCUCUGGUUGGUGUCCCUUCCUUCUAUUUUAUCAACAGCACCAUCAGCUUCGUGUCAUCAGCAAACUUGCUGAGGGCACAUUCGAUCUCACUGUCUAAGUCAUUGGUAAAGAUGUUGAAGAGCACUGGUCCCAAAGCAGACCCCUGGGGGACACCACACAUGGCUGGCCUCUGCCUGGACAUAGAGCCAUUGCCCACAACUCAUUGGCUGUGACUACCCAAGCAGUUCUUUAUCCACCUAAUAUUUCAGCUUUCAAAUCCAUAUCUUUCCAAUUUAGAGAGCCUUUUCCAUGUCUGUUGGAGCCAGUUCUCCCUCCCCACUUAUCAGAAGGGUUACAUUAUCCCUUGCCUUUCUCUUCUGACCAAUGUACCUAAAUCACUUCCUGUUAUUUUUCACAUCCCUUGAUAAAUUUAGUUCCAUCUCCACCUCGGCUUUCCUGAUCCCAUCUCUGCAUGUCCAGGUGGCAUCCCUGUAUUCUUCCCAGGCCACUCAUGCCUGUACUUUUCCUUCCUAUCCCUCAGUCUGACCAGCAGGUCCUUGUUCAGCCAUGCCAGAAUUCUGCCUUCUCUACUUGAUUUUUUCUGCUGGGGGUGGAGAGUUCUUAUGCUCUCAGAAAGCCAUCCUUAAAGAGCUACCAGCUCUGUUCUGUUUCUAUGUCCUUAAGGACAGUUCUCCAGGGGAUUCCAUCUAAUAAUUCCUUAAACAGCUGGAAUAUCACUAUUCUGAAGUUCAGGGUCCUGACUCUGUUUUUUGCCAGGCCCAUAUUCCUUGAGAUCAUGAACUCAGCUGGGUCAUGAAUGCUACAGCCCGGAAAAACAAAGCAGCCUUGUUGCUGUGAUUAGACUGCAUUUAUAAGACAUGAUUCAGACACCUAAAUUUAGGUGUGUAUGCUGUAGGUGUCUAUGACAAGGCAGCUCUCUGUGGCACCAUUAUCAUAAAUGUGAUUAAAAAGUCCAUUCAGUUUCCUAAAUCUUAGUUGCCCUGUGUCAUUUGAGAUUCUCAUUUGACAUUCUGUUACUCAGUUCACAUGGAAUCUGUGGCCUGCUGCAAGGCAAAGAUCCCGCCAGAGACCAGGCAGGAUGUACUUGGGCUGGGACUCAAUUCAGCUGCUCACACACAGGCAUCUAUUACCAUCUGAGAUCCCCUCGGAAGUCCAAGAAGCACACAAGGCUGGAAGACAUGCCACACAGAGCCUCUGCGAGCAGUUAAUUGUGUCCUGGCCUCCUCAGCUGGCUGUAGGGAUCAACCUUCCUACUCACAGGCUUCCAUGGCCAUGCAAAAAUCUUUUUUGAAGCUCCUCUUUGAGUUCCCUGUGGCAAGAAACAGCUGUUUCUGUUCUAAACUCGGCUCCUCAUGCUCUCAGGCCAAUCAUGUCAAUCUGGUGGAGUAAAGGUCUAAAGGUAAAUUAUGUUCACAUCUCUUUUUAGGUAUUUUUGUGUCCAUUAAUUGUAUUGGGUAUCUUCACAGUGAUUCAGGUGUCCCAGUGUAUUUUCCAGUCCUUCUGUAAUUUGCAAAUGCUCACAGUCAGAAAUGGUAUAUUACAAAGAGCCGCUCCUACUAAAAUAUCACCAGUGGGAAUCCAUCAGUGAAAUUUUAUGUUCCAUUAAUGAAAUUUCCAUUAGUGAAAUUAGUUAUACAGCCAACAUAACCAUCUAUUAUAUGUUGGAUCAACACUCCUCUCCCUUCCUGCCUUGGAACAGGCACACAAUUCAUGGCACUGCUACAACAGGGAGAUAAAAAGGGAGUGUUUUUGGAUAUAGAGCCUCUGCUAUAAAGUAGAAGCUUGCCUGUGAGGGAAAAUACAUCCAUAGGAAUACUGUUAAACAGCUAUUACUGAAAUAGUGUGACAACAUAUGUAGGUAGCUUCUCUCUGGAUUUAGAACACCACUUUUCAGUUUAGCAUAUGCCUGUUCAAGACCAUUUUAAGCCAAAAAUGAAAACAUGCUUGAAAUCACAUAGAGGUUCACAAAGGGACUAAAAUUAACUUACUCUCAGCGAUAUAAUUAAACCAGUAGAGAUGAUAAACUUCCCCAGAGAUAAACACCCUUAAAUAAACUCUAGUUCUGCAAUAGCGUAUUUUUUUCCCAGCUAACAACAAAACACAAAGGCACAGUUGCAUAAGCUGCUAUACCUCAUGAUGCCCCAUUGAAUGAGAAGGCUCAACAGUGGGUCUGUCCCAUAUCAUAUUUGCUUAUGUUAUCAGAACAAUGCUGGAUGUGAGUAUCUCAGAAGAACAGUUAUCCCCUAGCAAACAGUGCUGGGGAAUGUUAUUUCAGUUCUGAUGUUGAGAUCCUAAUAGCCUUCAGGAAGCACUGGGCGUGUAGGUUGCUGCCUUUUCCCUGUCUGGCACCUCAGUGCGAUAGUGCGGAAAAUAGACUGUGAAGCACAACCUUCACUCGGGUUGUUAAAAAUAAACACAUUUAUAUUUUGUGACCGAAGGCUAGCACUGGCUCUAUUGCUCUCCAUAAACUUUCUAUCACCUCUGAAGAUUAACCAGCUUGGGAGCUUUUAAUAUAUCAUCAUCGUUACAUUUGCUUUGGGUAAAUUUACCUAAAAUGUCUUUGCAGAGGAAUGGGUUGCAAGGUAGCAAGGGAGAUGAGAAAUUGGUAUUCACAAGCUACUGCGUUGCAAAGGUUAACUUAUAAAAAUGUCUGCUGGCUUGGGCAGUAUUCUUCAUUCUCAUUUUGGGGAAUGAAGGUUUGGUUACAUUAAGAUUUCUUACUCAUCCAAAAGUGCCCUCACAUACAUAAAUAAGAGAAGCUACCGAGUUCUGAAAAUAAAUCACUAAGUUUGCUUGGAGAAGUUUAGGAAUCUCUUAGGGUUGUGAAAAUAGGAAAAAAAAAAAAAGAGCUUAUAAUAUCUAUAUUUGUCUUAAGAAAAAAUUUUCAGUAGGUCACUGGAUAUUCACACAGUACUUCAUCAGAGGCAUCUUCCAAGGACAGGACAUAGCACUGAGGAAAUGAGUGCCAGAGUCAAGAUAGCUAGUUCUUGGUCAAACUCAAGCUAUUCUGGAAAGAUGAAGUAUCCAACAUCUACACCGAGAGCUUGGCCUGCUGAUGAGAGUUCUUUUUUGGAGUAGGAAUGCCAAAGGAAUGCUGUAGCAGGAAAACAGAGUUUUAUGAGCCAGGCAAGUAAAAGCAGUGCUGGUGCUCAGUACUCAUCUUCCAACAUUUUGCAAGACAUCCACUUGCUUACCUACA